CAGUAGCCGCGGGAAUACGGAGGGUGCAAGCGUUAAUUGGAAUUACUGGGCGUAAAGCGCACGCAGGCGGUCUGACAAGUCAGAUGUGAAAUCCCCGGGCUUAACCUGGGAACUGCAUUUGAAACUGUCAGGCUGGAGUCUUGUAGAGGGGGGUGGAAUUCCAGGUGUAGCGGUGAAAUGCGUAGAGAUCUGGAGGAAUACCGGUGGCGAAGGCGGCCCCCUGGACAAAGACUGACGCUCAGGUGCGAAAGCGUGGGGAGCAAACAGGAUUAGAUACCCCAGUAGUCCCUGUCUCUUAUAC
RNAcentral lists this ribosomal RNA (301 nucleotides) under uncultured bacterium. RNAcentral's name for it is "partial 16S ribosomal RNA". It matches the Rfam family "Bacterial small subunit ribosomal RNA", at positions 509 to 807 of the family's 1533-position model. The record is from RNAcentral.